ACCUCGGGCAUGGAUGGAGGAGAAGAUGGAGAGUGAUGCAACGAGCCCAUGGAAAUCCGGUGAAUAAGUGAUUUGGAUUUAUUUUUAUGGAAUGUUUUCCAAUGUUAUUUCUUUAAAGUUUUGAAUAACGCAGAAUGCGAGAACAAGUUAUGUUUUCUUCAAAUGAAUUAUAUUUUGUUGUUUUGAAAAAUGAUUCAGUGUUUUUGUUUAAAGUAUUUG
RNAcentral lists this long non-coding RNA (219 nucleotides) under Olea europaea (common olive). Its description in RNAcentral is "long non-coding RNA (OEUR_LNC013549)". The record is from RNAcentral. Lineage: Eukaryota; Viridiplantae; Streptophyta; Magnoliopsida; Lamiales; Oleaceae.